RNAcentral lists this long non-coding RNA (173 nucleotides) under Chinchilla lanigera (long-tailed chinchilla). RNAcentral describes it as "lncRNA (ENSCLAG00000025561.1)". The record is from RNAcentral. Lineage: Eukaryota; Metazoa; Chordata; Mammalia; Rodentia; Chinchillidae.
CUCUUUUGAAUCCCUACACCAGCAAUGAAGCUUUUCAAAGUAGCAAGGUGAAAGCAGACUCCAGAAUAAACACAAGAAUCCCUUUCUCCUCAGCAUCCAGCAAGAGAACUAUCCAGCCUUCUCUCAACUCUGUGUUGCUGAGACUAAAGUCCAGGGAGUGCUGUGGAGAGACC